GCCUGGCAGCCCUCCCAUGGCGCUUUGCAGGGCACCUUCAUCCCCACAGAGCUGGGUUAAGUUUCUCUCCCUGGGGCAGGAACUCAGCUGCAGAGGCAGCAGGAAGGGGACAGAAGCCCGCCCCAAAGAGGGCUGGGGCAGGGGCACCCUUACGCCCGCCUGGUCUGGCCCAGCAGGGCUGCUGGCCCUUUGGGGGUAUGGAAAAGUCAGGAAGCAAUCCAAAGUUGGUAUUUAAAAAACUGAUUUCUAGAUACUUAGACGGUCAUAUGGUGUGAGGAGCUGGGGGCGCCCCAGGGUAGAGCCCACAAGAGGAGGAAGACUGAAAAGGGGUCGGAGUGG
This 339-nucleotide long non-coding RNA is filed under the name Pan troglodytes (chimpanzee). Its description in RNAcentral is "long non-coding RNA NONPTRT005728". The record is from RNAcentral. Lineage: Eukaryota; Metazoa; Chordata; Mammalia; Primates; Hominidae.